AACACGUGGGCAAUCUGCCCUGCACUCUGGGACAAGCCCUGGAAACGGGGUCUAAUACCGGAUAACACCCCCUCUCGCAUGGGAGGGGGUUGAAAGCUCCGGCGGUGCAGGAUGAGCCCGCGGCCUAUCAGCUUGUUGGUGAGGUAGAAGCUCACCAAGGCGACGACGGGUAGCCGGCCUGAGAGGGCGACCGGCCACACUGGGACUGAGACACGGCCCAGACUCCUACGGGAGGCAGCAGUGGGGAAUAUUGCACAAUGGGCGAAAGCCUGAUGCAGCGACGCCGCGUGAGGGAUGACGGCCUUCGGGUUGUAAACCUCUUUCAGCAGGGAAGAAGCGAAAGUGACGGUACCUGCAGAAGAAGCGCCGGCUAACUACGUGCCAGCAGCCGCGGUAAUACGUAGGGCGCAAGCGUUGUCCGGAAUUAUUGGGCGUAAAGAGCUCGUAGGCGGCUUGUCACGUCGGUUGUGAAAGCCCGGGGCUUAACCCCGGGUCUGCAGUCGAUACGGGCAGGCUAGAGUGUGGUAGGGGAGAUCGGAAUUCCUGGUGUAGCGGUGAAAUGCGCAGAUAUCAGGAGGAACACCGGUGGCGAAGGCGGAUCUCUGGGCCAUUACUGACGCUGAGGAGCGAAAGCGUGGGGAGCGAACAGGAUUAGAUACCCUGGAGUCCACGCCGUAACGGUGGAACUAGGU
This 692-nucleotide ribosomal RNA is filed under the name Streptomyces sp. A23MTZ. RNAcentral describes it as "bacterial SSU rRNA". It matches the Rfam family "Bacterial small subunit ribosomal RNA", at positions 112 to 821 of the family's 1533-position model. Lineage: Bacteria; Bacillati; Actinomycetota; Actinomycetes; Kitasatosporales; Streptomycetaceae. The record is from RNAcentral.